UAUUGAGCUAAGAAUGGAUCAAGUAGUCGACUGUCCCUGUUAUGAAGAGAACCGGUGGUUGGUGAAAACCGGUACAAACAGUACGAUGAAAUACUUCCAGGAGCUUUUGCCGUGAACUUUCAUAGUAGCGGCAAACGGUAAGAACCGUUAUAUCGAUGAGCGGGGAAAUUUGAUUUCCCAAGUUGGGUGGUAACGCGGUGAAUAAAUCGUCCCUUCG
Molecule: non-coding RNA, 217 nt
Filed under: Bacillus sp. (in: firmicutes)
Lineage: Bacteria; Bacillati; Bacillota; Bacilli; Caryophanales; Bacillaceae
Description: Bacillus sp. T-box sequence
Rfam family: T-box leader
About the family: Uncharged tRNA acts as the effector for transcription antitermination of genes in the T-box leader family. T-boxes are found upstream of many aminoacyl-tRNA synthetase genes and some amino acid biosynthetic genes usually in Gram-positive bacteria.
Source: RNAcentral